ACAAACGCUAUGAAAAGAAGAGUAUGCAAAUUAUGAUAUUUACAGAGAACCUACAUAAGCUGAGAGUAGGAAUAAAGUAAUUGCUGAAGAUGGUCUUGGAGCGGUGUACCGAGGUAAAUUUUGCUUAGGCUACAACGGGUUUCGCCCGUUACAGUGAUAAAGUAUCUGUAUAAACACGUACUUGAUAAGGCUUAUAUUGUGAAGUAUAAGUAAAUUUAAGGUGGUAACACGAAGCGUACAUAUUUGCUCUCGUCCUUUUA
This 260-nucleotide non-coding RNA is filed under the name Candidatus Epulonipiscium sp. RNAcentral's name for it is "Epulopiscium sp. T-box sequence". It matches the Rfam family "T-box leader". Rfam says of the family: Uncharged tRNA acts as the effector for transcription antitermination of genes in the T-box leader family. T-boxes are found upstream of many aminoacyl-tRNA synthetase genes and some amino acid biosynthetic genes usually in Gram-positive bacteria. The anticodon of a specific tRNA base pairs to a specifier sequence within the T-box motif, and the NCCA acceptor tail of the tRNA base pairs to a conserved bulge in the T-box antiterminator hairpin. Lineage: Bacteria; Bacillati; Bacillota; Clostridia; Lachnospirales; Lachnospiraceae. The record is from RNAcentral.